This is a long non-coding RNA of Alosa sapidissima (American shad), 931 nucleotides long. RefSeq lists it as uncharacterized. Lineage: Eukaryota; Metazoa; Chordata; Actinopteri; Clupeiformes; Clupeidae. The transcript has 2 exons. The record is from RefSeq and is a predicted model, not a curated record.
CCCUCAUGAAAUUAGGGCUACUAAUCUAGAUGCAAUUUCAUGUAUCUUCCUAUGGAGGGCGCUCUAUGUGUUAGAAGACUAGAGCGUCCUACUAGCAAACAUUCUCUCUCUCUCUACCAGCGACAUAUUUCCUGUGAACGUGCACCUGAAAGAGCUCCCGGAUUUGAAGAUAAAUAAUAACGAAAUACUUUUGAAAAUUCAAUACUUUACGUCUAGUUAUAUCCAUAAGAUAUUAGUCUAUCUCAAACUCAACUUUGAAUAAGAAAGAAAAGUGAUUCUGUCGAGUUUACAGCAAAUUGGAACUCUGAUUGGUUUUUUGAACGACCAGAUCAGAUUCGGAUCCCAGAUGGCGAGCCCAGCCCAGUGAGACUGAGAACGAUCGUGGAAGCGGUGUGGCCAACCGUACGAUUUGUCUCAGAGAAACCCAAGAUUUGUUCAUUCGUUCAUCGAACACCAGAUAAGAUUUUCCACACUGUUGACUCAACACAGUAGUCAUAUCCGCACACAUUCAAGGAACUGAACUUUGGGAAUCGAUAUACACACACACACACGUUCAAGGAACUGAACUUUGGGAAUCACUACACUUUUCAUACAGGAACUGAUAUACACUUUUCAUGCAGGAACUGAUACACACUUUUCAUACAGGAAUUGAACUUUCUUGAAUCAGUACAUACAGGAAUAAGGGGCUUGAAUUCUAUGUUUCCUUUGAUUUUCAUAUUUUAUUUGUUUGAAGAGCUCUUCCUUAUCAUUUCAUUUAUAUUUUGCCCAUUCAAUGCUGUGUAACCACACUGCUGUUUCGGAGGCAAUAAAACUGUCAAUUGUUCAACUUAUUAAUUCCUCUUGUGAGUUAGUCCAUUUAAGCAUACCCCUCUCCCGAGCCUAGGUUGAUGUUUAGUGCUUGAAUUACUGGUCCAGGUCUACGAGCGCUACA